GACGAACGCUGGCGGCGUGCCUAAUACAUGCAAGUAGAACGCUGAAGAGAGGAGCUUGCUCUUCUUGGAAGAGUUGCGAACGGGUGAGUAACGCGUAGGUAACCUGCCUUGUAGCGGGGGAUAACUAUUGGAAACGAUAGCUAAUACCGCAUAACAAUGGGUGACCCAUGUCAUUUAUUUGAAAGGGGCAAAUGCUCCACUACAAGAUGGACCUGCGUUGUAUUAGCUAGUAGGUGAGGUAACGGCUCACCUAGGCGACGAUACAUAGCCGACCUGAGAGGGUGAUCGGCCACACUGGGACUGAGACACGGCCCAGACUCCUACGGGAGGCAGCAGUAGGGAAUCUUCGGCAAUGGGGGCAACCCUGACCGAGCAACGCCGCGUGAGUGAAGAAGGUUUUCGGAUCGUAAAGCUCUGUUGUAAGUCAAGAACGAGUGUGAGAGUGGAAAGUUCACACUGUGACGGUAGCUACCA
Molecule: ribosomal RNA, 474 nt
Filed under: Streptococcus salivarius
Lineage: Bacteria; Bacillati; Bacillota; Bacilli; Lactobacillales; Streptococcaceae
Description: bacterial SSU rRNA
Rfam family: Bacterial small subunit ribosomal RNA
Source: RNAcentral